This 253-nucleotide ribosomal RNA is filed under the name uncultured bacterium. RNAcentral's name for it is "partial 16S ribosomal RNA". It matches the Rfam family "Bacterial small subunit ribosomal RNA", at positions 524 to 776 of the family's 1533-position model. The record is from RNAcentral.
UACGUAGGUGGCAAGCGUUGUCCGGAAUUAUUGGGCGUAAAGCGCGCGCAGGCGGUCCUUUAAGUCUGAUGUGAAAGCCCACGGCUCAACCGUGGAGGGUCAUUGGAAACUGGGGGACUUGAGUGCAGGAGAGAAGAGUGGAAUUCCACGUGUAGCGGUGAAAUGCGUAGAGAUGUGGAGGAACACCAGUGGCGAAGGCGGCAUCCUGGACCGGCAUUGACGCUGAGGAGCGAAAGCCAGGGGAGCAAACGGG